RNAcentral lists this long non-coding RNA (695 nucleotides) under Equus asinus (donkey). RNAcentral's name for it is "lncRNA (ENSEASG00005030144.1)". The record is from RNAcentral. Lineage: Eukaryota; Metazoa; Chordata; Mammalia; Perissodactyla; Equidae.
AGUAUUGCAGGAGCAGGAAGCCUAGCAACUACUUUUGCCAAACUUCUGUUUUAAUAGCCUUGUUUGGAUUCAGUCAACGAGAGGCAUUCAAGUGAAAUUUGGGAGAUAGAAGAGAAGCAGAAGCCAUUAUUGUUUCUCCAACAUCAAAGAUCCCUUCCUUUUGGGAAAGCCAGCCAUCGUGGAUGCAAGAGCACUUGACGUUAGACCUAGGUGAAGAGAACCUGAGGGGUCCUACCAAAAGCCAGCACUAACAUGCCAUCCAUGUGAAGUCUUGCAAGAAAAUGAAGUAAUGUUAUUGGAAACUGAAGAAAAGGGGAUCCUUAUUACACUGUAUAGUGGCAGAAAGUUCAACAACAUUGUUGCCUGAAGUAACUGAAAGGUAGAAAAUGUGUCUAAUGAACUGGGUGAUCUAGCUAGAGAGAUUUCCAAGCAAAGGUUUCUUCUUGUUGCUUACAGCAAAAUGUAAGAGGAGAGAGAGAAACUAAAGGAAGAACUGUUAAACAACAAGGAGACAGAAUUUGCUGGUUUUGAAAAUUCUCAGCCUCUCCAAAUGGCAAACAAUGCUGAAGUUAAGAUAUAGCUUCUGAGCAAAAAUCAAAUCCAGGGCACUACCAGUAAAACACGGUCCAAAGAAAAAGCCAAGGGUGUGGCUAUAAAAUCUUUCUAGUCUCAAAAAGAUUUAAGGUUGCGCAUUA